This 657-nucleotide long non-coding RNA is filed under the name Sorghum bicolor (sorghum). Its description in RNAcentral is "long non-coding RNA (SBIC_LNC008961)". The record is from RNAcentral. Lineage: Eukaryota; Viridiplantae; Streptophyta; Magnoliopsida; Poales; Poaceae.
UCAUAGUAAAUAGAUCUUUACCGAGGCGUUUGAAACGCCCGCCUUGGUUAAUCAAAUAAAAAAGGAAAAAGGAAAAAUCUAUGGGUAGGUCCACCAAGCCCAUCCACGGGCCCGCUAAGCCAUCAAUGAUGGUAGGAUUUGCGUGUGUACGCCACCGCUCGUCGGGGCUCCCCCCUACCAGAUUUGGAGUGUUGUGAGCCUGCCAGAGCCAUCCGAGGCUCCCCGCGUGCACUGCUGCUGUCAGAUUCAGCCCCAACACGUGUGAGGCCACCGGUUGAAGCCUCCCCAUGUGCAAGCACGUCAAAUUCAGACUCCUUACGCCUCCUAGAUCUAGCCCCGUAGUCGUCGCUGCGGAUCUGCGAGGGAGAGAGGGUGAGGGACAGAUCCACCAUGGAUCAGUGUGUGUGUGAGAGAGAGAGGAGGAGGAGGAGGAGGAGGCCAUACCUCUUCCGGCACGAGCAGAGGAGCACAGGUCGCUGGUGGCUGCGAACUCCUUCGUAGUGGAGAUGCUGACAUAGUAGGACGGGGUGAGGGAUGGGUGGUGGUGCCGCUAUGAGGAGAGGGAUGGGUAGUAACGCUAGGAGAGGGGAGGCGAGGGCCACCGAGGGAGAGAGAGAGUGGACGAAAUAAGAGAGGGAGUGAGAGAGUGGAUGUGGG